GGCUAACGCUGGCGGCGUGUCUUAGCCAUGCAAGUCGAGCGGACUUAUGGGGUAACUUAUAAGUCAGCGGCGGACGGCGGAGUAACACGUAGCUAACCUACCCUCUGGACGGGGAUAACCUACCGAAAGGUGGGCUAAUACCCGAUGUAGUCAUCCUGUAUAGGGGUGAUGAAAGGUGGGCUUCUGUUUACAAGCUCAUGCUGGAGGAGGGGGCUGCGGCCUAUCAGGUAGUUGGUAGGGUAAUAGCCUACCAAGCCGAUGACGGGUAGCCGGCCUGAGAGGGUGACCGGCCCGAGGGGCACUGAGAUACGGGUCCCACUCCUACGGGAGGCAGCAGGCUAGAAAUUUGGGCAAUGGGGGAAACCCUGACCCAGUGACGCCGCGUGCAGGAGGAGCCCUUCGGGGUGUAAACUGCUGUCGUGUAGGGAGAAGGGUACUAAAGGUGAACAAGUCUUAGUACUUGACGGUACUACAGGAGGAAGCCCCAGGCUAACCUCGUGCCAGCAGCCGGGUAAGGCUACGUAGA
This 526-nucleotide ribosomal RNA is filed under the name uncultured bacterium. RNAcentral's name for it is "bacterial SSU rRNA". It matches the Rfam family "Bacterial small subunit ribosomal RNA", at positions 28 to 532 of the family's 1533-position model. The record is from RNAcentral.